AAUACAUGUCGCCGUUGACUUUUAACCACAUGUUUGACCAUUCGUCUUAUUCAAAAAAUUUAUGCAAAUAUUAUUUAUUUUGUUAUGAAUUGGUUUAUUACUAUAGAUAUUUUAAACAUGACUUGUAUUUUUUGAAUAAGACGAAUGGUCAAACAUGUGAUAAAAAGUCAAUGGCAGGAACAAAU
RNAcentral lists this microRNA precursor (185 nucleotides) under Leersia perrieri. RNAcentral describes it as "MIR812 microRNA precursor family". It matches the Rfam family "MIR812 microRNA precursor family". Lineage: Eukaryota; Viridiplantae; Streptophyta; Magnoliopsida; Poales; Poaceae. The record is from Rfam by way of RNAcentral.